Molecule: small nuclear RNA, 300 nt
Filed under: Octodon degus (degu)
Lineage: Eukaryota; Metazoa; Chordata; Mammalia; Rodentia; Octodontidae
Description: 7SK RNA (ENSODEG00000022482.1)
Rfam family: 7SK RNA
About the family: 7SK was discovered as an abundant small nuclear RNA in the mid-70s but a possible function has only recently been suggested.
Source: Rfam by way of RNAcentral
GGAUUGAUCUCAGGACCCUACACUUGCCAGAGAGGCGCUUAUUCUACUGAGCUAUCUCCCCAGCCCCACAAGUCUUAAAAAAUUUUCAAUAGUAUUCCAUGUGCGGCCCUCCCAAAAGCUGCAUGCUCAGUCAAAGAGGGCAACAACCCCAGAUAGAGAGUGUCUAUUCCCCUGUCAAGGGUAUGAGCAGCUCUGCUCCCCUGCUAGAAUCUCCAAAUAAGCUCUCAAUAGUAUCAAACAGAUUCUGUUCUAGAAACACUUAAGUGUUUUCAAAAGGUUUGUGCACAUAUAGAUCUCUAU